UCCCGUUAUAUAGUAUUAUAGAUAAUUGGAAAAACUUCAAAUACUAUUCUUGUGGUUUUACACUUUCUCACUUUAGUACCAUAUAGUUUAAAUUAUAUCAAUUUAGUACCAUGUGGUUUUAUUUUUAUUUUUUUAUUAUCGAUUCUACUAAUUUUUUUCGUUAAAUUAGUGACAAAGUUAAAACUAAAGGGUACUAAAGUGAAUAUUCGAUAAACCUAGGUAGGGUAUUUGAAGUUUUUUUUAUAUAAUUUAACGAAAUAUUAACGGAAAAGCUGACAAAAAGAUAAAAAUGAAACCACAGGACACUAACUUGAUACACUUCAAAUCACAGGGUACUAAAGUGAAAAAGUGCGAAACCACAGGGAUGGCAUUUGAAGUUUACCCUAGAUUAUUUCGACAUAUUCAGGUAUCUUGAAUUUUUGAAUAAGAUUACGACUGAUACUGUAUUAGCGCAUUUGGUUAAUAUAGUAAUGUAAUGGUGAAUUACAGUAUAUAUAGUAUUACUAUUUUUGAUUCAGUUUAUAAAUUCAAUAUUCUUGACAAUAAAGUAUAAUCUAUUCUAAAAUUGCUCUUAGUCAUAUUUGGUAAAAAUUUUUUACUGUUUACAAAUAAUGAUUUUUUUAAUAAAUUUUAUUUUAAAUAAUUUAAAAUUUGAAUUUAAAAUUUAUUUUUUAAUUUUAAAUUUUAAAUCUGAUCACAAACAUAAAAUUUAAUUAUUUAAUUUAAAAUAUAAUUUUAAAUUUUAAAAUUUAAAAUUUUAUAUUUGAAAUUUGAAACUUGAAAUUUAAAAAUUUAAAAUUUAAAAUUUGAUAAUUUAAAAAAUUAAAUUAAAAUUUUAAAAAUGAUGUAUUGACAAGGUAUCGAGGUUCGGAGGGAUAAACUUGUAAUUUUGGAUAAAUGUAGGAUAACUAAUUACAAAAUACUCGCCCUCCGCAAUAAUAAUUUUAGUGUAAUUCUGCACCAUUUGUAAUGCUAAAUUACUAAUCAGAUUACAUACUGAUUGAAUCAAACGCAGUAAUUCUGACAAAAUUGUCUGUAAUCCUAUAAAAAUAAUCGGAACUAAAUGCACCCUUA
RNAcentral lists this long non-coding RNA (1074 nucleotides) under Ananas comosus (pineapple). RNAcentral describes it as "long non-coding RNA (ACOM_LNC035709)". The record is from RNAcentral. Lineage: Eukaryota; Viridiplantae; Streptophyta; Magnoliopsida; Poales; Bromeliaceae.